AAAAAAUCGCGUUUCUGAUUGGCUGGGCCUGUGGGGAUUGAGUAAAGUCGAAGCUGAUUCGUCAGAAACACUACUCUGUAAUAAAGCUCAGUAAAAUGGGCGGAGUGCUGAGAAUCCUCCCUCGAGAGGUAAUAGCAGACUGAAUUCCUCAGACUCCAGAGAUCCAGUUUACUACAACAUGAGUGAUACAGUGCUGGCUAAGCGCGGAGAAGAGCGAGGCUGGGAGAGCACACUGGAUGUCAGUGCUGUCAAGCCUUCAUUUCACCUGUCAGCACGGUGACUGACGUACAAGCACUUGUUUGCCCUUCCUGUGGUCUUCUCUUGCGUGUCCUGACAGGCGCAGGCCUCCGAAGCAGCGCACUUCGCCUCCUGCUACAAGGUCUCUCUCCUCCGGCUCUGCUGUCAGCCUUUGAUCACGGCGAGACUCUCUGUUCUCCACUCAGACGGACGACAGCAGCUCUCCCGCCCCACCGUGGAAUCCUUCCUGCCCCGGCCAGGUGACAGCAGGUGAGAAAAUAGCCGUGUUAUCAGAAGAGAGACUGGAUGAGACCUGUCUACAAUGGGCCCACAUAUUCCCCUGCACAGGCUAGUGAUACUCACCUGAUAAGUGAGGUAGGGGUCAGUUCAGUCACUGAAAAGCACUGCACCUCAAAGACAUGUCAGAAUGGGUGACCCCUCCUGUCCUCUGUUGUUUCUGCCACAGGAUCACUGCUUAAUUUAGUCAGAUGUGCAGGAUAUGCAAAAAUAUAUGUGCGACCGUGUUCGUGUCUGGAUGUAUGGUGACAAAGAGCCGCAUUGUCCUCACUCAGGUUUACCUAUCCUCCAGGUUUACCUAUCCUCCAGGUUUACCUAUCCUCCAGGUUUACUUAUCCUCCAGGUUUACCUAUCCUCCAGGUUUACCUAUCCUCCAGGUUUACCUAUCCUCCAGGUUUACCUAUCCUCCAGGUUUACUUAUC
Long non-coding RNA from Pangasianodon hypophthalmus (striped catfish), 956 nucleotides. RefSeq lists it as uncharacterized. The transcript is spliced from 4 exons. NCBI's taxonomy places the organism in Eukaryota, Metazoa, Chordata, Actinopteri, Siluriformes, Pangasiidae. The record is from RefSeq and is a predicted model, not a curated record.